UAAAAAGGAAUACAAUUACAAAUUUGAAGAAUAACCUACUACAUACUCAAGCUUAAUCAUUACUUCACACGACCAACACGCCCUCCGGCACUUUCCUGCUGUCAGCAUCUUCUUGGUGCCUGAAGGAGUGUGACCAGACCUGGAGCAAAGUUUGCAGCCCGUGAAAGACACGCUCCCCAGAGCUCUCGGCACCUGACCGGGCCAGUCUCACAUCGGGGGAGAUCUGCGCUCAACUGUCCUUUGACAUAAAAUAACUGGAAAUCGGCUGGCGGGAAGAAAUGGAGGAUAAAAGUCUGGAGAAGAGAAGGGAAGCCCUGAGCCAGAGGGCAGACAGCAAGUCCCUGCACACUGAAGAGGAAGUGAAAGCU
Non-coding RNA from Lepisosteus oculatus (spotted gar), 368 nucleotides. Lineage: Eukaryota; Metazoa; Chordata; Actinopteri; Semionotiformes; Lepisosteidae. The record is from RefSeq and is a predicted model, not a curated record.